This 608-nucleotide long non-coding RNA is filed under the name Brassica napus (rape). Its description in RNAcentral is "long non-coding RNA (BNAP_LNC016091)". Lineage: Eukaryota; Viridiplantae; Streptophyta; Magnoliopsida; Brassicales; Brassicaceae. The record is from RNAcentral.
UCAAACUUUCAAAAUCAUAUGAUCUUAUCGUAAUUUAUCAAACUGGAGAUAAGUAUUAUGAAACAGCUCAUGUAAAAAACGAAUAAUUCAAGUAAUUAUUUCAUAGAGAUCCACGACAUGGUACAUACAUAUGACAUCCUUAUAGUAUUUAACGCAUAUAUAGUAUACAAAGUCGUGAUUAUUAUUUCCACACACUCUGAUGUUUACUUCUUCCGCAGAUCCUCGAAGUAGCCUUUGGGGUUCUUUUCAAAUGAGUUCCUGGAAAUACGACGACCAUUUCCUCCCGGAGCCCUCAUCGUCGGGCCAGACCUCAUCCAUAAGAGGGCUAUAACCAGUGCUAGUACGAGGCCAAUGACUUUUGUUUGAGUAUCGAAAUACUCCAAGAUCAUCUUGAUAUGUGAUGAAAGCUUCUUUUUUUUUUUCUUUUUUCUUGAUUGGUUAGUUGAUGAAUGGGUGUAUUCAUCAGUUUAUAAAGCUGUGAUGUGUGUGUGAUUCAAUUCAAUCCCAAAGCCGACAAAGUCUCUUUAACUUUGUUAGUAGUUGUUACAGCGUUAGUAUAAAGCACAUAAGGUGGGUCAGGACUCGGAAUACAUGAUGUCUAAUGGCUG